RNAcentral lists this ribosomal RNA (253 nucleotides) under uncultured bacterium. RNAcentral's name for it is "partial 16S ribosomal RNA". It matches the Rfam family "Bacterial small subunit ribosomal RNA", at positions 524 to 776 of the family's 1533-position model. The record is from RNAcentral.
UACGGAGGGUGCAAGCGUUAUCCGGAAUUACUGGGUUUAAAGGGUGCGUAGGCGGCUUUAUAAGUCAGGGGUGAAAGCUUGCCGCUUAACGGUAAAAUUGCCUUUGAUACUGUAGAGCUUGAAAGAGGUUGAGGUCAGCAGAAUGUGGCAUGUAGCGGUGAAAUGCAUAGAUAUGCCAUAGAACACCGAUUGCGAAGGCUGCUGGCUGGGCCUACUUUGACGCUGAGGCACGAAAGCGUGGGGAGCGAACAGG